Molecule: ribosomal RNA, 394 nt
Filed under: uncultured bacterium
Lineage: Bacteria
Description: bacterial SSU rRNA
Rfam family: Bacterial small subunit ribosomal RNA
Source: RNAcentral
AGCGAACGUUUGCGGCGGGCUUAACACAUGCAAGUCGAACGGGCUGUUCCUUCGGGGGCAGUCAGUGGCGCACGGGUGCGUAACACGUAGGUAAUCAACCCUCUGGUUGGGGAUAACACUUCGAAAGGAGUGCUAAUACCCGGUAUGGCGCAGCGGUCUUCGGAUCGCGGCGAGAAAGACCCGCAAGGGUUGCCAGAGGACGAGCCUGCGGCCCAUCAGCUAGUUGGCGAGGUAACGGCCCACCAAGGCGAAGACGGGUAGCUGGGUCUGAGAGGAUGAUCAGCCACACUGGAACUGAGACACGGUCCAGACUCCUACGGGAGGCAGCAGUGGGGAAUAUUGCGCAAUGGGCGAAAGCCUGACGCAGCCACGCCGCGUGAGCGAUGAAGGCCUU